This 301-nucleotide ribosomal RNA is filed under the name uncultured bacterium. RNAcentral's name for it is "partial 16S ribosomal RNA". It matches the Rfam family "Bacterial small subunit ribosomal RNA", at positions 509 to 809 of the family's 1533-position model. The record is from RNAcentral.
CAGUCGCCACGGUAAUACGAAGGGUGCAAGCGUUACUCGGAAUUACUGGGCGUAAAGCGUGCGUAGGUGGUGGUUUAAGUCCGUUGUGAAAGCCCUGGGCUCAACCUGGGAAUUGCAGUGGAUACUGGGUCACUAGAGUGUGGUAGAGGAUAGUGGAAUUUCCGGUGUAGCAGUGAAAUGCGUAGAGAUCGGAAGGAACAUCUGUGGCGAAGGCGACUAUCUGGGCCAACACUGACACUGAGGCACGAAAGCGUGGGGAGCAUACAGGAUUAGAUACCCCGGUAGUCCCUGUCUCUUAUAA